AGCGAACGCUGGCGGCAGGCUUAACACAUGCAAGUCGAGCGGGCACUUCGGUGUCAGCGGCGGACGGGUGAGUAACGCGUGGGAACGUGCCCUCUGGUUCGGAAUAACUCAGGGAAACUUGAGCUAAUACCGGAUACGCCCUUUUUGGGGAAAGGCUUGCUGCCGGAGGAUCGGCCCGCGUCUGAUUAGCUAGUUGGUGGGGUAACGGCCUACCAAGGCGACGAUCAGUAGCUGGUAUGAGAGGAUGAUCAGCCACACUGGGACUGAGACACGCCCCAGACUCCGACGGGAGGCAGCAGUGGGGAAGAUUGGACAAUGGGGGCAACCCUGCUCCAGCCAUGCCGCGUGAGGGAUGAAGGCCUUAGGGUUGUAAAGCUCUUUUAUCCGGGACGAUAAUGACGGUACCGGAGGAAUAAGCCCCGGCUAACUUCGUGCCAGCCGCCGCGGUAA
RNAcentral lists this ribosomal RNA (450 nucleotides) under uncultured bacterium. RNAcentral describes it as "partial 16S ribosomal RNA". It matches the Rfam family "Bacterial small subunit ribosomal RNA", at positions 29 to 523 of the family's 1533-position model. The record is from RNAcentral.